Molecule: long non-coding RNA, 549 nt
Filed under: Olea europaea (common olive)
Lineage: Eukaryota; Viridiplantae; Streptophyta; Magnoliopsida; Lamiales; Oleaceae
Description: long non-coding RNA (OEUR_LNC010762)
Source: RNAcentral
GCGCUGCUUGCCCUUCUCUUCCCUUUCUUCUCUUCUUGCUUCCCUCCUUCUCACAUAUAUGAUACCAUGUUAACCACCAAGCCCCAAAACCAAGACCAGCUAGCACUUUCCCAAUUGUGCCAACAAACCACCACUGUCUAAAUCUACAACCAACCACGACCAUGUCCUACCUCGACUGUAAACCACCACCUCCAAAGCCCUAAAUCACUAUUCCCACCAAUAGCUUUGCAUCACCACCACCAACAACAAACAUCGUACCACAAUCAUUGAUGGUAGUAAUCAAAUCCCCACGCAACCCCAAAAUUUAAUAUCAAAAAAUUAAAAAUAAAAAUAAAACUGCAAUUGGCUUAAUUGUUUUACUUGAUUAUGUGAUGGCGGGUCUAGUGAUGGAAAUUGUCAAUAACCGCAGCCGUCAACACAUCACCAUCACGUUGAUCCAAUAUAUCCAAAUCACGAUCUGGUAUUGUGAUCGCAACCCAUCACCAGCAUCAAACCCACCACUACCAUCGAAAUCCGAAUUGGAUAUUUUUGCCUUCAUUACUGCGUGUG